This 229-nucleotide ribosomal RNA is filed under the name uncultured bacterium. RNAcentral's name for it is "partial 16S ribosomal RNA". It matches the Rfam family "Bacterial small subunit ribosomal RNA", at positions 568 to 796 of the family's 1533-position model. The record is from RNAcentral.
CAAGUAGGCGGUUUAUUAAGUGAGGGGUGAAAUCUUCCGACUCAAUCGGGAAAUUGCCUUUCAAACUGGUAGACUUGAGGUUGGAAGAGGGAAACGGAAUUAGCAGUGUAAGGGUGAAAUCUGUAGAUAUUGCUAAGAACACCAGCGGCGAAGGCGGUUUCCUGGUCCAAACCUGACGCUGAAUUGCGAAAGCUAGGGGAGCAAACAGGAUUAGAUACCCUGGUAGUCC